GAUGAAGAACGUAGCGAAAUGCGAUAAGUAGUGUGAAUUGCAGAAUUCAGCGAAUCAUCGAAUCUUUGAACGCACAUUGCGCCCUUUGGUUAUUCCUUAGGGCAUGCCUGUUCGAGCGUCAUUAAUUCCACUUAAGCCCUGCUUAGUGUUGGGAAUCUACUCUAGUGGUGCUACCCUGGAGCUACCCCUGAAAGGGGGCUGGCCCGGUAGCUACCCUGUAGUUCCUCAAAGAUAGUGCGCGGAGUUGCGUGGUCCUCUGAGCUUAGUAACUAUACACCUAGCUUUUGAGUGUCCCGCGGCGCCUGCCGUUUAAACCCCAUCUUUUAAUGGUUGACCUCGGAUCAGGUAGGAAUACCCGCUGAACUUAAGCAUAUCAAUAAGCGGAGGA
This 388-nucleotide unclassified non-coding RNA is filed under the name soil metagenome. Its description in RNAcentral is "partial contains 5.8S ribosomal RNA, internal transcribed spacer 2, and large subunit ribosomal RNA". The stretch from base 1 to 121 matches the Rfam family "5.8S ribosomal RNA", at positions 35 to 154 of the family's 154-position model. The record is from RNAcentral.